AUUUUUUAAAAUUAUUUAAUUUCAAUAAGAAAAUUUAAAAAAUUUCAUUAUAGAUUUUUGUAUUAUAUAAAGAAAAAUUAUUUUUUCAACUGUGAAGGAUUUUUUGAAAAAAAUUUAAAAAGUAAAAUUAUAAAAGUUCAUUAGGGUACCUUUUGCAUUAGGGUUUUUAGAAGAAAUUAAAUUAUUUUAAUUUCCCGAAAUUAAAAUGAGCUAUUAAGAUAUUUUUAUUAUGUGGAAAUAUAUUAAACAAUAUUUUAAUAGAAAUGAAAUUUUAUUCAUAUUUAAUGAUAUCUGGUUAUAAAUUUAUGAUUUUAGAUCAAAAUUAUUUUUUUAAGUUUUUAAAAAUUAUAUAAUUUUUUCUAUUAGGGAUAAGCUUAAUAGAAUUUCUUUAAAUAAAAAUUAUUUAUUUAAAUAAGGAAUAAAAUUUUCUAAGUUUUUUUGUAAAAAAUUUUUUUAUUAUUCAAGUUAUGUAAGAUUUUUAUAUGAUUAAAUUAAUUUUUUUUUUUAAUAAAAUUAUUAAAAAAUUAGUAAAUUUAAAAAAAAAAGUAAUGAAAAAUUAAAAUAUAUUAAUAAAAUGAAAAUUUAAUUAUAGUAAUUCGGCAAAUUAAUUUAAUUGACUGUUUAUCAAAAACAUUUCAUCUUGAAAAGUAAUAAGAUGUAUAAUCUGCUCAAUGAUUUUUUAAAUUGCUGUGGUAUUUUGACUAUACAAAGGUAUUGAAAUAAGAUUUUAAAUGAGUGCUAAGAGAAUGAUUAAACAAUUAAAAGCUUUCUUUAAUUAAAAAGUUAAAUUUAAUUUUUUUAGUGCAAAAGCAAAAAUAAAAUUUAGGGACAAGAAGACCCUAUGAAUUUUUAUUGUUAAUAAUUAAAAUUUAAGUUAUUAAUAAUUUAAUUGGGGCGAUAAAAAAAGAAUAAGUAUCUUUUUAGUUAUAAAAUAAGUUCCGUUUUUAGCGAUUAAAUGAAAUAAAUACUCUAGGGAUAACAGCGUAAUAAUUUUGGAUAGUUCAUAUAGAUAAAAUAGUUUGCGACCUCGAUGUUGGAUUAGGAUUCUUUUUUGGUGAAGAAGUUAAAGAAAGAAGUUUGUUCAACUUUUAAAUUCCUACAUGAUCUGAGUUCAGACCGGCGUAAGCCAGGUUGGUUUCUAUCUUAUAUAAAAUAGUUUAUUUUUAUAGUACGAAAGGAAUUAAAAAUUAAAAAUUUUUUAAUAAAAUUAUAUUUUAUAUUACACUAAUUUGGCAGAAAAAA
This 1242-nucleotide ribosomal RNA is filed under the name Ixodes scapularis (black-legged tick). RNAcentral describes it as "partial 16S ribosomal RNA". The stretch from base 975 to 1133 matches the Rfam family "Archaeal large subunit ribosomal RNA", at positions 2544 to 2703 of the family's 2987-position model. The record is from RNAcentral. Lineage: Eukaryota; Metazoa; Arthropoda; Arachnida; Ixodida; Ixodidae.